GAAGGAGAGCGCAGCAUUUACUGAAACGAUGUACCCCCGCUGGUUUGUUGUCCGAAGUGCUGCCAGGAAAGAGUACUGGAUAGUGCCAGCGAGUGCUGUGCAACCGCGACCUGCGCCGUACUGCUUUCCGAACACGAAGGAGUUCGUCCUCAACAAUUUCCACCCUUCCUCGAAGAAAAGUCUCCGACGGUGCCGCGCCGCCCAGCCAAUGAGCGCCUGUCGUUUGAAUGGAGGCGCCGACCCGGGCCUCGUUAAAGCUGAAUUUAGGCGGAGGCCGACGACCAAGUGGAAGACGAGCAGAGGGCCACCGACGACGACGACGGCCUGGAGGCGGAGGCGGGGCAGGCGGGGCAGGCCAACCAGGCGCAGCAGCAGCAGCCAAUCGUGCUCCUGCGGCGCUGUGAUGUAAGUCCGAGCACUAGAUAAAGGAGAGGAGAUGGGUGAUGCCGAAGGGUUAGAACUCGAAAUAAACGUGAAUAUUGUCACCUGUCAGUACCGUCGCCGAUUUGAAAUUGUGCUGCGCUCUGAUUGGUCGAGGCGGGGGCGGGGCGGUCUCGUCAGACGAUUAGUAGAGGUGAGAGAGUGCGUGUCAGGGUGAAGUGAAUUCAGAUCUAAAAGAAUGUCAUCAGAAGAUAUCCUGCGGAUAGACUUCACCGACUCCUCUGAGGAGGAGCAAGUGGUGAGUACAAAUGUUAUACUCUGAGUGAAAUCGCGUGAGACCAGAGAGGUGUCGGACUCCUAACCUGUUGCUACCGCGAGUCUCCCUCCGCCAUUCAAUUUUGAACUCGUUGAUUUACACGUGCGCUUUCAAAGCCGUGAUUGAGUUCGCCGCGCUUUUCAAACUAACCGCGUGAGUUUGCCGCCCCUUUCCUAACCUCACCACAUGCCGAGUUCUCACGAAAUUCUUUUCAGCGAGUGAAUCUGCACUUGAUGGGUGAACGCCCACCGGAACCUCACGCCGUCCCCGACCCACCCUCCGACUGG
Molecule: long non-coding RNA, 984 nt
Organism: Frankliniella occidentalis (western flower thrips)
Lineage: Eukaryota; Metazoa; Arthropoda; Insecta; Thysanoptera; Thripidae
Exons: 3
Source: RefSeq, a predicted model, not a curated record